CCCACACCCCCCAGCAGCACGUCUGCUCUGCCUGGUGCCUGCGCUUUACUAAACGGAUAGCCUGUACGGUGGCAGUGGUCGCUCCCAGCACUGCACUUGACAGGGGCCCUCUCCGCCGUUUGAGACUGGACCGAAUUGAACGCGGCGCAAGCGCAAUCCCGCUUCCGGCAAUGGCCCUACCGUCGCGGCGGCAGGUCUAGAGCUGCUGGGCUGAGCCGAAAAUGCCUUGUUUGUAGGGCAUGCAUGCGUGCUGACAUGCAGCGCGACGGGGCCGGGGCUGGGUUGACCCCGAAGGAGAAGCAGCAGAGGUGGCACAACGGAUCGAAUCAUGAAAUCGAAGCGGGGCGAGGAAUGGGGGAUUGAUGAGGGUGAUCGUGUGUCGUGUUCGUGGUGGUGCCGUCUGGCCUGCCUCGGCCUUUAUGGCCGGCCCGCACGGCACGGCAGGGAUCUCGUAAGCUUUUAUCGAAUCGUAGCCUUGAUUGCAACCUUCAUUCAAUCCCGGUCCUCAUUACUCAGUUAACAACCGUCCUCUUCGGACCUGCGCCGUGCUGAUGCUCUAUGCUAUGCUUGCUCGGCUCCUUCAAUUCUCUGCGGCCC
Molecule: long non-coding RNA, 597 nt
Filed under: Setaria italica (foxtail millet)
Lineage: Eukaryota; Viridiplantae; Streptophyta; Magnoliopsida; Poales; Poaceae
Description: long non-coding RNA (SITA_LNC002008)
Source: RNAcentral